This 498-nucleotide ribosomal RNA is filed under the name uncultured bacterium. RNAcentral's name for it is "partial 16S ribosomal RNA". It matches the Rfam family "Bacterial small subunit ribosomal RNA", at positions 29 to 523 of the family's 1533-position model. The record is from RNAcentral.
AUUGAACGCUGGCGGAAUGCUUUACACAUGCAAGUCGAGCGGCAGCGCGGGGCAACCUGGCGGCGAGCGGCGAACGGGUGAGUAACACAUCGGAACGUACCCAGUCAUGGGGGAUAGCCCGGCGAAAGCCGGAUUAAUACCGCACACGACCUGAGGGUGAAAGUGGGGGACCGCAAGGCCUCACGUGAUUGGAGCGGCCGAUGGCGGAUUAGCUAGUUGGUAGGGUAAAGGCCUACCAAGGCGACGAUCCGUAGCGGGUCUGAGAGGACGGCCCGCCACACUGGAACUGAGACACGGUCCAGACUCCUACGGGAGGCAGCAGUGGGGAAUUUUGGACAAUGGGCGAAAGCCUGAUCCAGCCAUUCCGCGUGAGUGAAGAAGGCCUUCGGGUUGUAAAGCUCUUUCGGCAGGAACGAAACGGUGAAUUCGAAUAAAGCUCACUAAUGACGGUACCUGAAGAAGAAGCACCGGCUAACUACGUGCCAGCCGCCGCAGUAA